UGUGUAAGGUGUGUGUGAGGUGUGUGUAAGGUGUACCAGGUGUGUGUAAGGUGUGUGUAAGGUGUGUGUAAGGUGUACCAGGUGUGUGUAAGGUGUACCAGGUGUGUGUGAGGUGUGUGUAAGGUGUACCAGGUGUGUGUAAGGUGUGUGUAAGGUGUACCAGGUGUGUGUAAGGUGUGUGUAAGGUGUACCAGGUGUUUAUUAAGAGUUAUCAGCUGAUGCAGCGUCACAGUGUCUGUCUACCUGCUCAUUACAGGAUAACACGUCAUUA
Molecule: long non-coding RNA, 271 nt
Organism: Dicentrarchus labrax (European seabass)
Lineage: Eukaryota; Metazoa; Chordata; Actinopteri; Moronidae
Exons: 3
Source: RefSeq, a predicted model, not a curated record